RNAcentral lists this ribosomal RNA (669 nucleotides) under Rhodococcus (subgen. Prescottella) equi. RNAcentral's name for it is "Rhodococcus hoagii partial 23S ribosomal RNA". It matches the Rfam family "Bacterial large subunit ribosomal RNA", at positions 1 to 593 of the family's 2925-position model. The record is from RNAcentral. Lineage: Bacteria; Bacillati; Actinomycetota; Actinomycetes; Mycobacteriales; Nocardiaceae.
ACAGUGGACGCGAGCAUCUUUGUUGUAAGUGUUUAAGAGCGUACGGUGGAUGCCUUGGCACCAGGAGCCGAUGAAGGACGUAGGAGGCUGCGAUAAGCCUCGGGGAGCUGUCAACCGAGCUGAGAUCCGAGGAUGUCCGAAUGGGGAAACCCAGCCACAGUGAUGUGUGGUUACCCGCGCCUGAAUAUAUAGGGCGUGUGGAGGGAACGUGGGGAAGUGAAACAUCUCAGUACCCACAGGAAGAGAAAACAACAUGUGAUUCCGUGAGUAGUGGCGAGCGAAAGCGGAAGAGGCUAAACCAUGGGUGUGUGAUAGCCGGCGGGCGUUGCAUUCGUGGGGUUGUGGGAUCCGUCUUGUCAAUUCUGCCGGAUUGGCCGACAGUGAGAAAUCAUCGUGUUAGUCGAAGUGGUCUGGAACGGCCUGUCGUAGAGGGUGAGAGUCCCGUAGACGAAAACAUGGUGACUGUCGUGACGGACACCCGAGUAGCAGCGGGCCCGUGAAAUCUGCUGUGAAUCUGUCGGGACCACCCGAUAAGCCUGAAUACUCCCUGGUGACCGAUAGCGGACUAGUACCGUGAGGGAAAGGUGAAAAGUACCCGGGAGGGGAGUGAAAUAGUACCUGAAACCGUGCGCUUACAAUCCGUCAGAGCCUGCGCCACUUCGGUGGGGG